UUGUGCAAUACAGCCUAAAGGUGACUGGCAGACAAAGGCUGAGCAAGACAGGCCGCUAGAGAACUGCAAGAAGGCUUUAGAGAUUUAACCUCACCCACACCUCAACCUACGUCCACAGGAGGAUCUGGAAGCAGCAUUAAGUCUGAAGCCUUCAUUUGAAUGGAAUAAACCUUGUCAGUACUUAAUCAAAUGCCCAGGAGACACUGUCCUAGCCUGAAAUUCAUCAGUUUGAAAGCCCUAACAAAGUCCUAAGUCAAAGUUCAGUUAAAUAUAUGGUAAAAAAAAAUUCAAACAUCAGCAUGAUUUUGGCUAGUUGGACUCCGAAAAACUUCCAUGGCCAACUAAAUAGAGCUGUGGCUGCCUUACAUGUUACAUACACGGCACCUAGGAAGCAUCAUGCAUGGAGCGCUGGAUUUGCAUUCAGGAAGACCCAAGUUCAAAUCCUUCCUCAGUCACUUGUAUGUGUGACCCUGGGCAAACCAC
Phascolarctos cinereus (koala) is the source of this 483-nucleotide non-coding RNA. Lineage: Eukaryota; Metazoa; Chordata; Mammalia; Diprotodontia; Phascolarctidae. The record is from RefSeq and is a predicted model, not a curated record.